AGCGUAGACGGAUGGACAAGUCUGAUGUGAAAGGCUGGGGCUCAACCCCGGGACUGCAUUGGAAACUGCCCGUCUUGAGUGCCGGAGAGGUAAGCGGAAUUCCUAGUGUAGCGGUGAAAUGCGUAGAUAUUAGGAGGAACACCAGUGGCGAAGGCGGCUUACUGGACUGUAACUGACGUUGAGGCUCGAAAGUGUGGGUAGCAAACA
RNAcentral lists this ribosomal RNA (207 nucleotides) under uncultured bacterium. RNAcentral describes it as "partial 16S ribosomal RNA". It matches the Rfam family "Bacterial small subunit ribosomal RNA", at positions 568 to 774 of the family's 1533-position model. The record is from RNAcentral.